RNAcentral lists this ribosomal RNA (430 nucleotides) under uncultured bacterium. RNAcentral describes it as "bacterial SSU rRNA". It matches the Rfam family "Bacterial small subunit ribosomal RNA", at positions 8 to 436 of the family's 1533-position model. The record is from RNAcentral.
AGAGUUUGAUCCUGGCUCAGAGCGAACGCUGGCGGCGUGCUUAACACAUGCAAGUCGAGUGCGCGUCUGUAGCAAUACAGAUGGCGCACGGCGCACGGGUGCGUAACACGUGGGUAAUCUGCCCUUCGAUGGGGAAUAACUCCGGGAAACCGAAGCUAAUUCCGCAUAACAUUCCUUGAACUUCGGUUUAAGGACUCAAAGCCGUAAGGCGUCGGAGGAGGAACCCGCGCACGAUUAGCUAGUUGGUAGGGUAACGGCCUACCAAGGCUUUGAUCGUUAGCUGGUCUGAGAGGAUGGCCAGCCACACUGGAACUGAGACACGGUCCAGACUCCUACGGGAGGCAGCAGUGGGGAAUCUUGCACAAUGGGCGAAAGCCUGAUGCAGCGACGCCGCGUGGGGGAUGAAGCUUUUCGGAGUGUAAACCCCUUU